RNAcentral lists this long non-coding RNA (913 nucleotides) under Medicago truncatula (barrel medic). RNAcentral describes it as "long non-coding RNA (MTRU_LNC004577)". The record is from RNAcentral. Lineage: Eukaryota; Viridiplantae; Streptophyta; Magnoliopsida; Fabales; Fabaceae.
UUUCUUCUAUGAUUGAAUGUUGUAAUGUAACAGUAUAUUUGGCGAUCAUACUAAUGUAUCAACAAUAUAUAUAAUAAUAAGUAAUUAAUAUAUACUAUGACCAAUCAUAUAAUUCAAGACGACAAAAAAAUACUAUAUGCCAAAUACCCACACAAAAAGUCCACACAAUAGGGAUUAGGCCGCCGCAAAGCUCAUGAUGACAUACACAUAACCCUAUCACAGGUAGAGGAAAAAAAUCAGGGAGAAGAGAGAAAGGGAAAGGGAAAGAAAAUGAGGAAGAGAAGGUCAAGGGAGAGAGUGAAUACAUGGACCCUGAGGGUGGCUGGAUGGUACUAUCCGUGGCCGCGGUUGAUGUUGGUCCAAUGUUGAAUUUUUGGUGGUAACUGGUUUGUGCAAAGAAGGAGAUUGAUGAUGAUGAAAUUAAAUGGAUUCAUAGGAAAGUAAUUGGCUUAGCUGUUGUGUUUGAGCUUUCUUAAAAAAUGAGUGUUGAAGUGUGUUUCGGUUUUUUGUGUGAAAGAUGAUAGAUUUCUUUUUGCUGGGAAAAUAGAUUUCACAUUUAUCUCUUUUUGAAGGAAUUUCACAAUUAUCUUCUUCUUUGGUGGGAGUAUAUAGAGAGAGAAAACGAGGGGAUAAGGAUUGGUGCCAAAAUACAAGGCUAAAAGAGUAAUUGAUAGGAGAUAGAAAUUGUGAAAGGUCGGUAGUACUUAAAACAUAUGUAAAAAUUGGAAAAAGGAACCAGUAAAGAAGAAAGACAGAUUGACAUGAAACUCAAAAUGUGAGAAAAGCUGUUAGAGAUAGUUAAUGGAUUAGGAGAUAAAUGUGUAGCUCUCUAUGUUUACAUUUUGCUUCCCUUUAUCAAAUUAGCUCUCUUAGAUAGACAAAUUGAGAUGUAUUGCUUGUUUUUUCGUUUACC